This 104-nucleotide non-coding RNA is filed under the name Aminomonas paucivorans. RNAcentral describes it as "SAM-I sequence". It matches the Rfam family "SAM riboswitch aptamer (S box leader)". Rfam says of the family: The SAM riboswitch is found upstream of a number of genes which code for proteins involved in methionine or cysteine biosynthesis in Gram-positive bacteria. The SAM riboswitch acts at the level of transcription termination control. The predicted structure consists of a complex stem-loop region followed by a single stem loop terminator region. RNAcentral also lists the same sequence under 1 other name. The record is from RNAcentral. Lineage: Bacteria; Thermotogati; Synergistota; Synergistia; Synergistales; Synergistaceae.
CUCUUAUCCAGAGUGGCUGAGGGACUGGCCCGAUGAAGCCCGGCAACCUGCCCGCAAGGGGCGUGGUGCCAACACCUGCGGUCGAGACGACCGAUUGAUAAGAG